Molecule: ribosomal RNA, 420 nt
Filed under: bacterium
Lineage: Bacteria
Description: partial 16S ribosomal RNA
Rfam family: Bacterial small subunit ribosomal RNA
Source: RNAcentral
UGGGGGAUAUUGCACAAUGGGCGAAAGCCUGAUGCAGCGACGCCGCGUGGGGGAUGAAGGCUUUCGGGUUGUAAACCUCUUUCGCUAUCGAACAAGGCCCGCUUAGGGUGGGUUGAGGGUAGGUGGAGAAGAAGCGCCGGCUAACUACGUGCCAGCAGCCGCGGUAAUACGUAGGGCGCGAGCGUUGUCCGGAAUUAUUGGGCGUAAAGGGCUUGUAGGCGGCUUGUUGCGCCUGCUGUGAAAACGCGGGGCUUAACUUCGCGCGUGCAGUGGGUACGGGCAGGGUUGAGUGUGGUAGGGGUGACUGGAAUUCCAGGUGUAGCGGUGGAAUGCGCAGAUAUCUGGAGGAACACCGAUGGCGAAAGCAGGUCACUGGGCCAUUACUGACGCUGAGGAGCGAAAGCAUGGGUAGCGAACAGG